Molecule: long non-coding RNA, 453 nt
Filed under: Zea mays
Lineage: Eukaryota; Viridiplantae; Streptophyta; Magnoliopsida; Poales; Poaceae
Description: long non-coding RNA (ZMAY_LNC005717)
Source: RNAcentral
AUAUAUUCACAAAAGCAUCACAAUUAUAAUAUCAUUCACAACUAGAUCAUUUACAGAUAGCUAGCUAGAUCAUUCACAAAAGCUCUAGAGAUGAUCAGUCACAAAAGCACCACAUCGACAUCACUCCAGCUUGAAGCAGUUCAAAAGCCCACAACUACAUCACUAAUGUUUCAUAUCACUCCAUCUAUUGUUCAAAAGCCCACAACUACAUCACUCUAGCUGCUCCAGAGUUGAUCAGUCACAAAAAGCACCAAAGCUACACUAAUGCUUCAAGCAGUUCAAAAGCCUUCAGACAACCACUCCAGCUUAUUGUAUCCUCCUGUUUUAAGGUACAAGCUUUCUUUGUCCAGAGCACCCUAGAAAAAAGUACAUCAAAUUAGUAUAUUGUUGCUACAUUUGCAAAUAAAAAUACAGUUUUGAUGCCUUAUCUACCUCCACUAGAUGGUGUUGCAG